CCGUCCCACUCGCCUCCCCCUCCUCGUCGCCCUCCUCUCUCUCUCUCGCUGACCCCUCUCUCCCCCCGUGCAAGCCAGCCCCGGAUCUGGAGGAAGAGGAGAGAUGCGGGCGCCUCCCGUCCCACUCGCCUCCCCCUCCUCGUCGCCCUCCUCUCUCUCUCUCUCGCUAACCCCUCUCUCCCCCCGUGCAAGCCAGCCCCGGAUUUGGAGGAAGAGGAGAGAUGCGGGAUCUGGAGGAGGAAGUGAAGAUCCGGGCGUCCCGGCGGUGGAUCGACCGAUGCUAGAUCGGGCGGAGGUCGCCGCCGUGGGAGGAGCAGGAAAGGGUGAGGCCUGGGCUCCACCGGCAGCGCACACUCUUUAGGAUGGUGCUAGGCUGCAUCUUUUCCUGCCCCCGUCCUGGUGCCUCCUACCCGCGUAAAUGGCGAGCAGAGGGCGUGAGUACCAGAGUUUGGAUGUGGAUUUUACUUCAGGGAGGAAGUUGGUUACAAUUUUCAUUUGUAUGAUGCAGCAGGCACAAACUAAUUUACAUGUAAGUUUUCUUUCAAUGAUUGUUGAGUUACAGGUCAACCCUGUCUCACCUCACUAAAUCUGGAACUCAUGCUUUUUUCCUUGCUUGAUAUUAGUUCUCGAUUUUCUUGGCACAUCCUUACAGGGAUAUCAUGUGCAAUGUAUGAGUUGCUUUGCUUUGGUUGAAGAUAUAUGCGUGCAUGUAGAUAUAAUCUUACAUGCGUUUUCAGUAUGAUAUGAGCACUCUUUUGUUCUCUGGGUGUACAUAGGUUGCAAGAAUGAAAAGGCUUAGGGGAUUAUUGUAGAGUUUUGAUUCACAUGGAUGCUCUAUUCACGACUAAUCUUUCUUUAUUUGGAGAACUUGUUGGUGUUGCGGUCUCUCCCCAUCUUAACAUUGUCUUCCGCUGCAAGGAGAGGAAAUUUGUGUAUACCACACCUAUCAGCUACAUCCCAUGGAGAGGAAUUUUGUGUCAGGCAUUGUCAUUGGAGAAGCUUUCACAGGCAUGGCCCUUCUUUCAGUCAUAAGAUUUACAGAUAUACUGAUUCUAAAAGAUUUGAUUCACAGGAAAUGGAUUGUAAAUUGCAAGUGAGUUGGGGCUUCUGAUUGGACCUUGUGGUGGUUGGAUCUGCUGACAGAUAGGGAGAAGCAUGAUAUGUUGCUACUGCUGCACCUAUUAUUUGAUUUCUCUCAAUUUGCAAGAGGAACAACAUGAAAUUCCUAUUUCACAUAAGUGAAGAAAAUCUAUAACACUGAUUGUUAUAGUUGGUGGUCCGGUGAUUCCAGUUUAUUUCUCUAAUUUGAUGUAGGAAAUGGAUUGUAAAUUGCAAGUGAGUUGGGGCUUCUGAUUGGACCUUGUGGUGGUUGGAUCUGCUGACAGAUAGGGAGAAGCAUGUCCGAGAUUACCUGAAUGAUUCGUGGAAAUUAGAAUGUGGGGAUCUCAAAGAAUGUUUCACAAGAAAAACAAAUAUUGGCCAUUUCCAAACUUGCUCGGUGGUCGAGGUACUAUAGAGGACAUCAGUAGAAUGAAAGCAAGAGCAACCUGACAACAUUAUUGAUAGUCAACUUCCAUUAUCAGCAGCUUCACACGUGUAUAUCUUUCUUUUGGAAAUGGAAGUUGCUGUUUCUUCCCAGGUGAGCUGAGAACUAGGAAGGUGCGGAUAAUAAGAGUUGUUGACAGAGGCAACCUGCACAUGUGUAAACAGUGGCUAUGGUGGCUCAAAGGGAAGCAGCGGCUGCUCCAUGGAAACACGCAACUUAGUGAUGACCGGCGAAGUGCAAGGUCAUGUACAAGGGAUAAGCUGGUCAAUGAAGGAAAUUCUAAAAGAAAGCGACUACAAGCAACAUUUGAAGGCUGUGUAUAGUGGAGGUAUUGAUGAUGAAAUAUGAAUGUCCCUUGUUCUUGUCUGCUCCUGAUCACAGUAGACUUGUCUGAUGUGCUCUAGAUCCUUUCUGUUUUUUCAUUAAAUGAUUAUGUGACUGAGGAGAGCAUGUUCUUAAUUAGGUUGCCAUUGUGAAACUUGUUUUCGGUUUUUUUAUUGUAUAAUACAGAGCUUCCAAAUGGUUUAAUCCUAGAUAUAAGUUACCAAUUUUCGGUGUGUAGUGAGCUGGAAGCCGGGGUCAUCCUUCUCACCACCAGUCGAACAUACUACUUCAGCCACCAUGUUGAGAGAUAUAAAAGUGUUCUGUAUUUCAGAGAGCAACAACACGAGAUUGUGCCCCCUCUUGCUCCAGGUGCAUGUUGCUGUAAUUAGUAUCAACAGAUUAAAUCAUGGACCAUGUCUCUGUUUCAUACCACCUCUGUUCAUAAAUAGAUAGCUUCCUAGAGAUUGUGCAGUCCUAAGGCCAUCCACACUAUUGCCCGUUAAAGCGUAUUGAGUGCA
This is a long non-coding RNA of Triticum aestivum (bread wheat), 2388 nucleotides long. RefSeq lists it as uncharacterized. The record is from RefSeq and is a predicted model, not a curated record. Lineage: Eukaryota; Viridiplantae; Streptophyta; Magnoliopsida; Poales; Poaceae. The transcript has 9 exons.